This 244-nucleotide long non-coding RNA is filed under the name Oryza brachyantha (malo sina). RNAcentral describes it as "long non-coding RNA (OBRA_LNC002893)". The record is from RNAcentral. Lineage: Eukaryota; Viridiplantae; Streptophyta; Magnoliopsida; Poales; Poaceae.
UUUUAGUAAAAAUAUCUUUAAAAAACUAUUAUUUUAGAACUUAGAAUUUUUUUAACAACAUGAAAAUUGUUUUGCUUUUCAUUAAAGCUAAAAGUCUUGGAAAUAUCAAGGAUAUCGGUUUUACAGAUAAGCCUACAGUACCAAAAUAACAACAAAAAAUCAGACACAACAACUAAACAAGUUGUAUUAGACUAGAAAGACACUAGCGGCAAAGAAUCAAAGCUAUGACAGAAAGCAACAAGGC